UGGGGAAUUUUGGACAAUGGGCGCAAGCCUGAUCCAGCCAUGCCGCGUGUCUGAAGAAGGCCUUCGGGCUGUAAAGGACUUUUGUCAGGGAAGAAAAGGAUAGGGUUAAUACCCCUGUCUGAUGACGGUACCUGAAGAAUAAGCACCGGCUAACUACGUGCCAGCAGCCGCGGUAAUACGUAGGGUGCGAGCGUUAAUCGGAAUUACUGGGCGUAAAGCGGGCGCAGACGGUUACUUAAGCAGGAUGUGAAAUCCCCGGGCUCAACCUGGGAACUGCGUUCUGAACUGGGUGACUAGAGUGUGUCAGAGGGAGGUAGAAUUCCACGUGUAGCAGUGAAAUGCGUAGAGAUGUGGAGGAAUACCGAUGGCGAAGGCAGCCUCCUGGGAUAACACUGACGUUCAUGCCCGAAAGCGUGGGUAGCAAACAGGAUUAGAUACCCUGGUAGUCCACGCCCUAAACGAUGUCGAUUAGCUGUUGGGCAGCUUGACUGCUUAGUAGCGAAGCUAACGCGUGAAAUCGACCGCCUGGGGAGUACGGUCGCAAGAUUA
RNAcentral lists this ribosomal RNA (549 nucleotides) under uncultured bacterium. Its description in RNAcentral is "bacterial SSU rRNA". It matches the Rfam family "Bacterial small subunit ribosomal RNA", at positions 355 to 896 of the family's 1533-position model. The record is from RNAcentral.